This is a small nuclear RNA of Vicugna pacos (alpaca), 157 nucleotides long. Its record names the gene U1. It matches the Rfam family "U1 spliceosomal RNA". From Rfam's summary of the family: U1 is a small nuclear RNA (snRNA) component of the spliceosome (involved in pre-mRNA splicing). Its 5' end forms complementary base pairs with the 5' splice junction, thus defining the 5' donor site of an intron. Lineage: Eukaryota; Metazoa; Chordata; Mammalia; Artiodactyla; Camelidae. The record is from Ensembl.
UUACUUACCUGGCAGUGGAGAUACCAUGAUCAUGAAGAUAGUUUUCCCAGGGCAAGGCUUAUCCAUUGCAUUCUGGAUGUGCUGACCCCUGCAGUUUCCCCAGACGUGGGACAUGCAACUGCAUAAUUUGUGGUAGUGGGGGACUACAUUUGUACUA